UUUAAUGAGAGUUUGAUCCUGGCUCAGGACGAACGCUGGCGGCGUGCCUAAUACAUGCAAGUAGAACGCUGAGGUUUGGUGUUUACACUAGACUGAUGAGUUGCGAACGGGUGAGUAACGCGUAGGUAACCUGCCUCAUAGCGGGGGAUAACUAUUGGAAACGAUAGCUAAUACCGCAUAAGAGUAAUUAACACAUGUUAGUUAUUUAAAAGGAGCAA
Molecule: ribosomal RNA, 218 nt
Filed under: Streptococcus agalactiae CCUG 28551
Lineage: Bacteria; Bacillati; Bacillota; Bacilli; Lactobacillales; Streptococcaceae
Description: partial 16S ribosomal RNA
Rfam family: Bacterial small subunit ribosomal RNA
Source: RNAcentral